CUCUGCAUUGGAAAGCGAUUGUGGGCUGCGCAGGCCCUGGUCAUUGAUAGUGCAGGGAGAAGAACGUGGAAAGAGGUUUGGAGGGUCCACCCAUCCCUUCUAAACCCUGGAGCUUUCCCAUA
RNAcentral lists this small nucleolar RNA (122 nucleotides) under Castor canadensis (American beaver). RNAcentral describes it as "Small nucleolar RNA SNORA71 (ENSCCNG00000021193.1)". It matches the Rfam family "Small nucleolar RNA SNORA71". Rfam says of the family: The members of this family belong to the H/ACA class of snoRNAs which bind a number of proteins (including dyskerin, Gar1p and Nop10p) to form snoRNP complexes. This class of snoRNAs are thought to guide the sites of modification of uridines to pseudouridines by forming direct base pairing interactions with substrate RNAs. This family includes U71 (SNORA71), ACA39 (SNORA39) and ACA60 (SNORA60). The record is from Rfam by way of RNAcentral. Lineage: Eukaryota; Metazoa; Chordata; Mammalia; Rodentia; Castoridae.